This 132-nucleotide small nucleolar RNA is filed under the name Dasypus novemcinctus (nine-banded armadillo). RNAcentral describes it as "Small nucleolar RNA SNORA72 (ENSDNOG00000047917.1)". It matches the Rfam family "Small nucleolar RNA SNORA72". Rfam says of the family: U72 is a member of the H/ACA class of snoRNAs. Lineage: Eukaryota; Metazoa; Chordata; Mammalia; Cingulata; Dasypodidae. The record is from RNAcentral.
CAGUAUGAAUAUUCUGUCUUGAUUCUGUGAUAAUCAGGGUAGGCUAAACAUUUGCUAUAUUAGAAACCAUGCAUGUGUCUCCGGACCUAGUUGUAUCCCCUAGGUCUGGUUUUUAGAAUGCUGGUGAUAAAC